This is a long non-coding RNA of Daphnia pulicaria, 253 nucleotides long. RefSeq lists it as uncharacterized. The record is from RefSeq and is a predicted model, not a curated record. The transcript is spliced from 3 exons. NCBI's taxonomy places the organism in Eukaryota, Metazoa, Arthropoda, Branchiopoda, Diplostraca, Daphniidae.
CAUGCUUCUACAUCUGUUAGUGAUUCCAGAUUGUUGACGAAAUAUCGUAUAGUGCCACAUUUACGUUUAGAUGGCCAUUGAUGUUCAGGCUGUUUUGAAGGUGUGCUUAAAGCUGUUCCUGCUGCUGCUGUCCUUGGUUGGUUGGUUGGUAACACCGCAGCAUCACACACUACAACGAAUCGCAAAGAUUUCGAUGGCCAUUGAAGUUGAGGCUGUUAAUGAAGAUGCUACCUAAUAAGAUGGUGAAAAGGUA